GGCGAAGCCUGACCGAGCACGCCGCGUGAGCGAUGAAGGCCUUCGGGUCGUAAAGCUCUGUUGUCAGGGAAGAACAAGUAUCGGAGUCACUGCCGGUACCUUGACGGUACCUGACCAGAAAGCCACGGCUAACUACGUGCCAGCAGCCGCGGUAAUACGUAGGUGGCAAGCGUUAUCCGGAAUUAUUGGGCGUAAAGCGCGCGCAGGCGGUCCUUUAAGUCUGAUGUGAAAGCCCACGGCUCAACCGUGGAGGGUCAUUGGAAACUGGGGGACUUGAGUGCAGAAGAGGAGAGCGGAAUUCCACGUGUAGCGGUGAAAUGCGUAGAGAUGUGGAGGAACACCAGUGGCGAAGGCGGCUCUCUGGUCUGUAACUGACGCUGAGGCGCGAAAGCGUGGGGAGCGAACAGGAUUAGAUACCCUGGUAGUCCACGCCGUAAACGAUGAGUGCUAAGUGUUAGAGGGUUUCCGCCCUUUAGUGCUGCAGCAAACGCAUUAAGCACUCCGCCUGGGGAGUACGGUCGCAAGACUGAAACUCAA
This 537-nucleotide ribosomal RNA is filed under the name Bacillus sp. MN07-08. RNAcentral describes it as "bacterial SSU rRNA". It matches the Rfam family "Bacterial small subunit ribosomal RNA", at positions 374 to 904 of the family's 1533-position model. The record is from RNAcentral. Lineage: Bacteria; Bacillati; Bacillota; Bacilli; Caryophanales; Bacillaceae.